Molecule: ribosomal RNA, 141 nt
Filed under: uncultured bacterium
Lineage: Bacteria
Description: partial 16S ribosomal RNA
Rfam family: Bacterial small subunit ribosomal RNA
Source: RNAcentral
UGGGGAAUAUUGGACAAUGGGCGAAAGCCUGAUGCAGCGACGCCGCGUGAGGGAUGACGGCCUUCGGGUUGUAAACCUCUUUCAGUAGGGAAGAAGCGAAAGUGACGGUACCUGCAGAAGAAGCGCCGGCUAACUACGUGC